Molecule: ribosomal RNA, 468 nt
Filed under: uncultured bacterium
Lineage: Bacteria
Description: bacterial SSU rRNA
Rfam family: Bacterial small subunit ribosomal RNA
Source: RNAcentral
GGCCAGACUCCUACGGGAGGCAGCAGUGAGGAAUAUUGGUCAAUGGCCGAGAGGCUGAACCAGCCAAGUCGCGUGAGGGAAGACGGCCCUACGGGUUGUAAACCUCUUUUGUCAGGGAGCAAUUGGCGCUACGUGUAGCGUUAUCGAGAGUACCUGAAGAAAAAGCAUCGGCUAACUCCGUGCCAGCAGCCGCGGUAAUACGGAGGAUGCGAGCGUUAUCCGGAUUUAUUGGGUUUAAAGGGUGCGCAGGCGGAAGAUCAAGUCAGCGGUAAAAUUGAGAGGCUCAACCUCUUCGAGCCGUUGAAACUGGUUUUCUUGAGUGAGCGAGAAGUAUGCGGAAUGCGUGGUGUAGCGGUGAAAUGCAUAGAUAUCACGCAGAACUCCGAUUGCGAAGGCAGCAUACCGGCGCUCAACUGACGCUCAUGCACGAAAGUGUGGGUAUCGAACAGGAUUAGAUACUCCCGUAAG